Molecule: ribosomal RNA, 301 nt
Filed under: uncultured bacterium
Lineage: Bacteria
Description: partial 16S ribosomal RNA
Rfam family: Bacterial small subunit ribosomal RNA
Source: RNAcentral
CAGCCGCCGCGGUAAUACGUAGGUGGCAAGCGUUGUCCGGAAUUAUUGGGCGUAAAGGGCUCGCAGGCGGUUUCUUAAGUCUGAUGUGAAAGCCCCCGGCUCAACCGUGGAGGGUCAUUGGAAACUGUUAAACUUGAGUGCAGGAGAGAAAAGUGGAAUUCCUAGUGUAGCGGUGAAAUGCGUAGAGAUUAGGAGGAACACCAGUGGCGAAGGCGGCUUUUUGGCCUGUAACUGACACUGAGGCGCGAAAGCGUGGGGAGCAAACAGGAUUAGAUACCCCCGUAGUCCCUGUCUCUUAUAC